UACGUAGGGGGCAAGCGUUGUCCGGAUUUACUGGGCGUAAAGCGCGUGUAGGCGGUUGAGUUAGUCUGCUGUGAAAUCUCCGGGCUUAACCUGGAGGGGUCGGUGGAAACUGCUCGACUUGAGGACGGUAGAGGGGGGUGGAAUUCCCGGUGUAGUGGUGAAAUGCGUAGAGAUCGGAAAGAACACCAACGGCGAAAGCACUCUGCUGGGCCGACACUGACACUGAGAGACGAAAGCUAGGGGGGCGAAUGGG
Molecule: ribosomal RNA, 253 nt
Filed under: uncultured bacterium
Lineage: Bacteria
Description: partial 16S ribosomal RNA
Rfam family: Bacterial small subunit ribosomal RNA
Source: RNAcentral